This 273-nucleotide ribosomal RNA is filed under the name uncultured bacterium. RNAcentral describes it as "partial 16S ribosomal RNA". It matches the Rfam family "Bacterial small subunit ribosomal RNA", at positions 523 to 796 of the family's 1533-position model. The record is from RNAcentral.
AUACGUAGGGGCCAAGCGUUGUCCGGAAUCACUGGGCGUAAAGGGUAUGUAGGCGGUCUUGUAAGUCAGAUGUAAAAUCUACGGGCUCAACCCGUAGCCGCAUUUGAUACUGCUUGACUAGAGAGUGCUAGAGGAAAGCGGAACUUCCUGUGUAGCGGUGAAAUGCGUAGAUAUAGGAAGGAACACCAGUGGCGAAGGCGGCUUUCUGGGGCACUUCUGACGCUGAGAUACGAAAGCUAGGGGAGCAAACGGGAUUAGAUACCCCAGUAGUCC